UUACGGUCAAAUCACGCUUGAAAACACCGGUUCUCGUUCGAUCACCGAAGUUAAGCAUCGUAGAGCCAGGUCAGGUCAGUACUUAGAUGGGGACCGCUUGGGAACACCUGGUACUGUAAG
Acanthosepion pharaonis is the source of this 120-nucleotide non-coding RNA. The record is from the annotation of a GenBank genome assembly. NCBI's taxonomy places the organism in Eukaryota, Metazoa, Mollusca, Cephalopoda, Sepiida, Sepiidae.